This 967-nucleotide unclassified non-coding RNA is filed under the name Caenorhabditis elegans. Its description in RNAcentral is "Non-coding transcript of protein-coding gene Y50D4B.2c". The record is from RNAcentral. Lineage: Eukaryota; Metazoa; Nematoda; Chromadorea; Rhabditida; Rhabditidae.
GAAUGUCCACUCGCUUUGAUGUGGUUGUCUAUGGAGCAACUGGUUUCACUGGUACAUUUAUUGUUGAACGUAUGAUAAAAUCACAGUUUUUCGAUGAUUUAUCAAUUGCGGUUGCUGGAAGGAAUGAGAAGAAGCUCAGAGAGGUGUUGAGAAUUGUUGGAGAGAAAACUGUGACCUGAACCACGUGGAAUCAUUUGUUCAACUGCAUAGUGGACCGAUGGGGUACUCGCUUAACACUGGAACCUAUGAAACUGUACUCUUGGCAGUGAGUAAUGAAAAUGAAAAUAAAAUGAAAGAAAUUAGAAAGUCUACAAUGCCAAACGACAUUGAGAAUGGAACAGUUAUUCCACCGCGUCGAGGAGUUGUCUGGAAAAUUGAAGAAAAAGAGCUUCAAGGCUUUGCCAUCCCAUUCCCUGGUGCUGAUCUAUCAGUGAUGGUCCGGAGUCAAUAUUAUGAUGCGACUGUUCGAAAAUCUCGUCCUGUUCAUCUUUCUAGUUACUUUCAACUUGACACUCGAUUCAAGACGUAUCGCCUGAUUCUCUGGGGUGCUAUCACGCGCGCCUUUGCUCUUGCUUCAUUCACUCGCCGAAUCCUUUUGAAAUACCCGGAUCAGUGCAGUUUCCGAAUGUUCAAGAAAUCGGGUCCAAGUGCUCAACAAAUUGCUGAAGCGUCAUUCACGUAUUGGUUCUUUGGAUAUGGAUACAAGGAGACUAUUCCACUGGAUCAGCAGCACGAGAGAAAAGUCGAUAGAAAAGUGGUGGCUACUUGUAAGGGACCAGAUCUCGCAUAUAUGGCAGCUAGUGGUUGUGUUCUUUCCGCUGCACUAGCAUUGGUUAAAGAUAAGAACAACCUGCCAAAGGAAGGAGGCGUCUACACUCCAGCCGCUGCUUUUGGAGACUCCAAGAUAUACGAUUACCUGGCAACCUUUGGAAUUAAUUUUCAUUUGGAAUCUGAAUACGAUCUCUAA